Molecule: ribosomal RNA, 439 nt
Filed under: uncultured bacterium
Lineage: Bacteria
Description: partial 16S ribosomal RNA
Rfam family: Bacterial small subunit ribosomal RNA
Source: RNAcentral
CUACGGGUGGCUCCAGUGAGGAAUAUUGCACAAUGGGGGGAACCCUGAUGCAGCAACGCCGCGUGGAGGAUGACGCAUUUCGGUGUGUAAACUCCUUUUAUAUGUCAAGAAAAUGACGGUAGCAUAUGAAUAAGCACCGGCUAACUCCGUGCCAGCAGCCGCGGUAAUACGGAGGGUGCAAGCGUUACUCGGAAUCACUGGGCGUAAAGGACGCGUAGGCGGGUUGGAAAGUCAGAUGUGAAAUCCUACAGCUUAACUGUAGAACUGCACUUGAAACUUCUAAUCUAGAGUAUGGGAGGGGGAGAGGGAAUUAGUGGUGUAGGGGUAAAAUCCGUAGAUAUCACUAGGAAUACCUAAAGCGAAGGCGAUCUCCUGGAACAUUACUGACGCUAAGGCGUGAAAGCGUGGGGAGCAAACAGGAUUAGAUACCCGCGUAGUC